Molecule: small RNA, 26 nt
Filed under: Bombyx mori (domestic silkworm)
Lineage: Eukaryota; Metazoa; Arthropoda; Insecta; Lepidoptera; Bombycidae
Description: ovarian small RNA-15179
Source: RNAcentral
GAACGGUUCUGGGAGCGGUUUGUGGC